Non-coding RNA from Meleagris gallopavo (turkey), 1721 nucleotides. Lineage: Eukaryota; Metazoa; Chordata; Aves; Galliformes; Phasianidae. The record is from RefSeq and is a predicted model, not a curated record.
UUGGUUUGUAUAAGAGCAGUAGUUGCUGGUCUAUUUCUUCAUCACAUAGCUUGUAGGGUGUGCACUGUGUUACUGGGAGAUCCAGUUCUUAUAGCCUCAUCAGUAAGGAUGAGGUUGUGUCAUCCCACACAAAAAUACCCUUUCAGAAGCCCAAACUUUUGCAGCUUUUGUCUUACAUUACCUGAAUCAUCCAGUCCCAGUCUUCUUCCUAAUUUGUUUUCCUUCUCUGUGCUGUUCUUGUCUCUUUUCUUCCAGUGAAAUUAAGCCUGCAGAAUGUUUGUCUUUUAAAAGGUAAAACAUAUCCUCACAAACUUUUGGUUCUCAGCAAAUGAUCAGACUAACUCUUUACAUGACUUUUUUUUCCUUAUUUAUAAUACUUAAACAGCUUUAAAUGUCUUCUUUCUGCAUUUAUUCAAACUGAAGACCCUCAGGAAUAGAAAGCUUAAUAGCCAGUGAAAGCUGAAGUCUACUAAUUUAUUUUACAGGACACUAAUUAAGAGACUAAAUAAUUUCCUUUACAUUCUUGAAAAUUCAACAUAUAUGAAUGUGGAUUUUGGGCUCUCUCUUUCUGAAUGAGUUAUUUAUUAUCUGAAUAAAUAAUCAAAUAAGGCUGUGAUUCAAUUCAGGUUGUUCAGUUCAGGGUUGCUGAAAAGAGGGUGAUGAAGUUCGAUCUGAUUAAUGAUGUUUAAGUUUGGCUUGAAUGGAUUUUGUCCUGUUGUCCUGCACUUGUUAAGUAUCUUUCAUUUUUCCACUACUGCAACAUAUCAGACUCUGAAUGGACAGAAUAGGAGGCACUUUUCAUAAAGACUAAAUAAUAAUCAUUUAAAAACACCCAUCUGAAAAAAACGGUUUAAGGAUGCAUCCAUAGUUGUUUGUUCAGGGAUGUCAAUCAUUAUUUGUUGAAAAUGUCACCCUUUGAUAGUAUUUCCAUUGACACUUGCGUUGCUUUUGACAUGCACUUCAAACGUGCUAAGAAACAGAGGAAGCAAUACACAUUUAUUCACAAAAUAAAUUGGGUGGAUCAAGUACAGGUCAUAAAGGUUGGCAUUCUCUUUGAGUCAACAGCCCGAAAAUGUCAUGCCAGCAAUCUGUCAUGUAUCUGAUGCAUCUCUUGUUGAUAGAGGUCAUUGUAUUACUUUCUGUUUUUUGCAAAUGCAUUUUUUUCAUUGCUAGUUCACACCAUAUUGUCUGAGUUGGACACACUUGGAUUUACUCAAUACAAACAGCAUUUGCAGAAACAGAAGAACACUUUGUUUCCCCCAAGAAGUGAGUGGAACUGCUGCUUGGAAACCAGUCACAUAGCAACAGAGUACUGAUUUUCCUUCCCUUCCAAAACAAAAGACAACCCCAAAUCUGUGUCUUUACAUCUCAUUUUAAGUGCCGUGUGCCUGAGCAUUAAUUGUUACAACAACAGUUGCUGGAGAUUCCAAGGUGAUACUUCUGGUUCCUAUCCAAGGUUUGAGGGAUCUGAAGUGAAGUGUAUGGGAAGACUCCUGUCACCAUCUGUUCCUUUGUAUGGCAAACUUCUCCAUUUUCCAGUUCAUCUCCUAUGAAAAGAUUUUCCAGUACUGAAGGUAGUUAGUUGAUGAACAUGCUCCCACAGAUACUCUGGGAUAUUACUGGGACCUGGAAAAUAAAGCCUACCCUAAUUUUUUUUUUUUUUGCAGAAUUAGAUGUGUGUUUUGAUUUGAGAGAACUGGCCAUUUUUUAGUCCCCCACCU